AUACGGAAGGUCCGGGCGUUAUCCGGAUUUAUUGGGUUUAAAGGGAGCCCAGGCGGAGAUGCAAGCGUGACGUCAAAUUUCGGGGCUCAACCCCGUCUCGCGUCGCGAACUGCGUCCCUUGGUUGCGGGAAGGGGAGGCGGAACUCGUGGUGUAGCGGUGAAAUGCAUAGAUAUCACGAAGAACUCCGAUCGCGAAGGCAGCCUUCCGGCCCGUCAACGACGCUCAUGCUCGAAGGUGCGGGUAUCAAACAGGAUUAGAUACCCUGGUAGUCCGCACAGUAAACGAUGGACACCCGCGGUUUGGCCUGUAUGGCUGAGCCGCCAAGCGAAAGCGUUAAGUGUCCCACCUGGGGAGUACGCCGGCAACGGUGAAACUCAAAGGAAUUGACGGGG
RNAcentral lists this ribosomal RNA (393 nucleotides) under uncultured bacterium. Its description in RNAcentral is "partial 16S ribosomal RNA". It matches the Rfam family "Bacterial small subunit ribosomal RNA", at positions 523 to 918 of the family's 1533-position model. The record is from RNAcentral.